RNAcentral lists this small RNA (475 nucleotides) under Pongo abelii (Sumatran orangutan). RNAcentral's name for it is "processed transcript". The record is from RNAcentral. Lineage: Eukaryota; Metazoa; Chordata; Mammalia; Primates; Hominidae.
AGAGUGUCGAAAACCAGAUGCGUUAUGCCCAGAUGCAGCUGGAUAAGCUGAAGAAAACCAAUGUCUUUAAUGCAACCUUCCACAUCUGUGAUGGGAUAGGCACAGUAGGGAUUGGAAUUCUAGAGCUUGGUGACAUCCACCCUUCUAAAGAAAGGAAAAGGCCUGAGCCCUUCAGCCACUUAAAAACCUGGCACAGUGGACAGUUUGGCACAAUCAAUAACUUCAGGCUGGGUCGCCUGCCCAGUGUUCCCGUGGAAUGGAAUGAGAUUAAUGCUGCUUGGGGCCAGACUGUGUUGCUGCUCCAUGCUCUGGCCAAUAAGAUGGGUCUGAAAUUUCAGAGAUACCGACUUGUUCCUUACGGAAACCAUUCAUAUCUGGAGUCUCUGACAGACAAAUCUAAGGAGCUGCCGUUAUACUGUUCUGGGGGGUUGCGGUUUUUCUGGGACAACAAGUUUGACCAUGCAAUGGUGGCUUU